RNAcentral lists this ribosomal RNA (910 nucleotides) under Aspergillus raperi. RNAcentral's name for it is "LSU rRNA". It matches the Rfam family "Eukaryotic large subunit ribosomal RNA", at positions 38 to 968 of the family's 3401-position model. The record is from RNAcentral. Lineage: Eukaryota; Fungi; Ascomycota; Eurotiomycetes; Eurotiales; Aspergillaceae.
GCAUAUCAAUAAGCGAGGAAAAGAAACCACCGGGAUUGCCCCAGUAACGCGAGUAAAGCGGCAAGAGCUCAAAUUUGAAAUCUGGCCCCCCGGGGCCCGAGUUGUAAUUUGCAGAGGAUGCUUCGGGUGCGGCCCCUGUCUAAGUGCCCUGGAACGGGCCGUCAGAGAGGGUGAGAAUCCCGUCUUGGGCAGGGUGCCCGUGCCCGUGUGAAGCUCCUUCGACGAGUCGAGUUGUUUGGGAAUGCAGCUCUAAAUGGGUGGUAAAUUUCAUCUAAAGCUAAAUACCGGCCGGAGACCGAUAGCGCACAAGUAGAGUGAUCGAAAGAUGAAAAGCACUUUGAAAAGAGAGUUAAAUAGCACGUGAAAUUGUUGAAAGGGAAGCGCUUGCGACCAGACUCGCCCCCGGGGUUCAGCCAGCACUCGUGCUGGUGUACUUCCCCGUGGGCGGGCCAGCGUCGGUUCGGGGGGCCGGUCAAAGGCCCCGGGAAUGUAUCGCCCUCCGGGGCGUCUUAUAGCCCGGGGUGCAAUGCGGCCAGCCCGGACCGAGGAACGCGCUUCGGCACGGACGCUGGCGUAAUGGUCGCAAACGACCCGUCUUGAAACACGGACCAAGGAGUCUAACAUCUACGCGAGUGUUCGGGUGUCAAACCCGUACGCGCAGUGAAAGCGAACGGAGGUGGGAGCCCCCCCGGGGGCGCACCAUCGACCGAUCCUGAUGUCUUCGGAUGGAUUUGAGUACGAGCGUAGCUGUGGGGACCCGAAAGAUGGUGAACUAUGCCUGAAUAGGGCGAAGCCAGAGGAAACUCUGGUGGAGGCUCGCAGCGGUUCUGACGUGCAAAUCGAUCGUCAAAUUUGGGUAUAGGGGCGAAAGACUAAUCGAACCAUCUGGUAGCUGGUUCCUGCCGAAGUU